Orcinus orca (killer whale) is the source of this 1586-nucleotide long non-coding RNA. RefSeq lists it as uncharacterized. NCBI's taxonomy places the organism in Eukaryota, Metazoa, Chordata, Mammalia, Artiodactyla, Delphinidae. The record is from RefSeq and is a predicted model, not a curated record. The transcript is spliced from 2 exons.
GUUCCAGCUAUAAAAGAAGACGGAAAAUGUCUGCAUGAUUUUUUCUCAUUGUCAUCAAAAGUAGUCUUGUCUAGUUUCAAGUAACAAAACUAAAACUCUCAAAAUGUAAUUAAUCUGUAAUUAACCUAACUCUCCACCAGUAAAGACAGAGACCAUUAUCACAUAAUAACAAAAACCCCAGGCACCCAACAAAGUUUCCUAUAUAACGCUUAGGUGGUAUAUAAAUAAACCAAAGUUAUCAUUUUAUUAAUGAUCUUUCACAAAAGAUCACAUUUCUAACUGGUUAAAUUCAUAAUGGAGCCUCAUUCCACAUUAGAAAAUUACCUGCUUUAAGUUUCCCUUAAAUUAGAAAGUGAAUUAUAGAAUCUGAUCUGAACAAAACAUAUUACAACUCUGCUGAAUGUUAAGAAUUAACUUUAGUGAGCAAAAUAUCUAAUGCUUACGUUUAAAAGUCCUAAAUUAUACCCAACCCAAUUUAUUAAAUGUACGAUCACCAAUGUUUUCUUUGGCUUCUUCAAAAUAUUCACUCCCGUGCACUCUUCCCCUUCUGCUCAUCACCUAUGCACUUAAAACCCCCUAUAAGCUCAACUCCAGUAUUUUUCAGAAAGGCUGUUAUGUUCAUGAUGCCCCUUUUGCCUUAUAUAAGCAGGUGCUCACCAUUUAUUGAAUGAGUGUCUGCCAAUCCAGUGGAUGCACUUUGAAAAAUUCCUGCCUACACUCAACCUCUGAUAAAGUAUAUUUACAUAGAACAUUUUAGAUUAUGCCCUGCUUUCAUGCACAUUACCUAAUGUAAUUCUUAUAGUAUAUAUUUUUAUCUUUCAUUGCAUUCUUAGAAGUUUUCCAAUAUCUUAAAUUUAUUUAAAUGAUUCACUUUCCUAAUUCAUUGCCAGGAGAGUCUCAUCAUGUCUUUUAUGCUACUGUAUAUAUAGUAUAUGCACAAAAAGUGCUUUCUUGAAUCAAAGAAUCAUGAACAGAACAUAAGCUAAUGUCAUAAAGCACGCACGCGCGCACACACACACACACACACACACACGAGAUUUUCACAUUUUUAAAAACAUGCUUUCUGGAAUAUAGAUCAUAUGAUCACUAAAUACCAGUAAAUGCAAAAGUCCAUAUGAUACAACCAAUUUGCAACAUAUUACAGUUUUAAAGUUUACAAGCUAUGUGUAUAUGGAUUAAAAUCAAAUCAAAAUAAAACCAAAACACUCCCAAAAGUAUAAGAAAUUGUUUACUUCAUUGACUCAUUUAUCAGCCUUCAGUCUUAUUACUCUUUCCUCCUUUAACUGCUUUAGGCACUCCUCCAGUGAUAACUUUGUACCUGCAAUGCUUCUUGUUUCAAACUGAUUUUCUCUGGCUCUUCCUGAACACUUUCUGAGGAAUCAUCAACCUCUUCGAUUUCUGAGGAGGAAGGACUCUCUACUGUCACAGUCACAGGAAAUUCUGAUGGACCUGAGUGUCACAAGAAGAAGAUAGGAAACCACAGAGUUGUUAAACUAAAGUGCAAAGAAAGAAGACAAGAUUGUAUAAAAGACAACACAAGCCAGAUACCAAAUAUCCAAAUAUUAGAGGACAUUUAACAAAAGUGA